GCCUGGACACUUACAGGCAGGCUUUGGCUGCAUGGUCACCAACCAGUUUGACCAGUUGUUUGAUGAUGAAGUGGACCUCUUUGAGGUGCUGAAGGCAGGGGAGAACAAAAAAAUAAAUGGCAGCGGGGGUGACACUGGGGGCCCUGGGGCCAAGAGCACAGCUCAGGCCCUCCAACAUGGCAGGCAAACAGUUGUGUAUAGAGUCCCAGAAAGACCACAAGAAACCACUGCACCCCAGCAUUGGCAUGGUUGACAAGAAAGAGGAGACACAGGUGCUCAUCGUGCUUAAGAAAGAAGGAAUAAGGUGAGUUGGUAGAAGACCUGAUCAACAACUUCAGGUUGAAGGAAAAAUAAUAGAAGACCAGAGAGACGAUCACCUCUAGAACAAAGAUUUGAAAAGCCACUUGAAGAAAAGGGUGGAGGCAAAUUUUCAGUUGAUAGACUGAUUAUUGACUGACCUAUUCGAGGCCGUGGUGGUCUUAGAAGAAGUUGAGGGGGCUGCAGACAUGGAAUGGGCUGAGGAGAUGGAUUCGAUUCCCAUGGCAAAUGUGAAUUUUAUAGGCAUAGUGGAAGUGAUAGAUCUGUCCUGAAGCACAAGGACAAACAUGGAGGUAAUAGACCUCACUACUGGGGAACUGUUAAAGAUGAAUUAACAGAUUUGGAAUGAUCAAAUGUGACUGAGGCAACAUCUGUAGGUGAAGAACAUCCAGUGGCAGACACUGAAAAUAAGGAGAGUGAAGUUGAAGAGGUAAAGAAAGAGGGUCCUAAAGAGAUGAUUUUGGAUGAGUUGAAGGCUAUUGAAAAUAUGGAGUGGGCAAAGUGGAAUUUAAUAUCUGAAAACCAAAUGAAGCUGCUGAAGGGCAGUGGAAGAUGAAAUAUGUUUUUCAUAAAUCAGAGUGAAGAGGCUCAUGCUGCAGACUCUGUUAUGGACCAUCUUUUCCAGAAGCCAGCAAAUGAUGUAAUGUCUCAGUUGAAGAUUAAUUUUGGAGAACUUGGCUGCCCAGAACAUGAUGGCGAGGGAGGACAAGGUAGACGUGGGUGUGGCAGACGUCUGAACUGUGGCAGCAGGACUGACAAGUAAAGUGCUUCUGCUCCUCAUGCGGAUGACCCAGAGGCAUUCCCAGCUCUGGCUUAG
RNAcentral lists this long non-coding RNA (1135 nucleotides) under Homo sapiens (human). RNAcentral's name for it is "non-protein coding lnc-ADGRL4-11:1". The record is from RNAcentral. Lineage: Eukaryota; Metazoa; Chordata; Mammalia; Primates; Hominidae.